GGAGUCAUGCACGGAAGCCACAGACUCACGCAGAUCGCAGACACGCACACAGACGGAGCCGCCACCGGCCACGGACUCAGAAUCACCACUCAUGGAGGCCCGGUGCCGAUUAAUGCGUCGGUUCAACCGAUUGCACUGUUCAUCAACAAUCAGCAGGCCAUCAUCCGAUGAGGCAUAGCCCCUAGGUAAUUUAUUCCUUGCAUCGUUUUUUAAUUUAAAUUAAUUAUUUCGGACUCUAGUACUCUAGGUACUUAUAGUAUGUUUUUCUUCUAAUUUAGGUGCUAGAAUCUUAGAUGUUACCUAAGAAACAUUUGUCGGGAGCUCAGAAAAGAAAACGGAAAAACUAGCAGAUCAAUUUGAGAUCAACUGUCACAAGAAAGGUUAAAUGAAUUGGCUAUGUGCACCAUGGAGAGGGAUAUCUUGGACAUCAUUGAUCUUAAUACCGUUCUUGAUGAUUUUGCGUCAAGAAAUGCCCGAAGAAGUAUCUUUUUAUGAGAAGCAAU
RNAcentral lists this long non-coding RNA (503 nucleotides) under Sorghum bicolor (sorghum). RNAcentral's name for it is "long non-coding RNA (SBIC_LNC011636)". Lineage: Eukaryota; Viridiplantae; Streptophyta; Magnoliopsida; Poales; Poaceae. The record is from RNAcentral.